RNAcentral lists this ribosomal RNA (253 nucleotides) under uncultured bacterium. RNAcentral's name for it is "partial 16S ribosomal RNA". It matches the Rfam family "Bacterial small subunit ribosomal RNA", at positions 524 to 776 of the family's 1533-position model. The record is from RNAcentral.
UACGUAGGUGGCAAGCGUUGUCCGGAUUUAUUGGGUUUAAAGGGUGCGUAGGCGGAAUGAUAAGUCAGUGGUGAAAUCUCUCGGCUUAACCGAGAAACUGCCAUUGAUACUGUCAAUCUUGAGUACAUUUGAUGUGGGCGGAAUGUGUCAUGUAGCGGUGAAAUGCUUAGAUAUGACACAGAACACCGAUUGCGAAGGCAGCUCACAAAACUGUAACUGACGCUGAGGCACGAAAGCGUGGGGAGCAAACAGG